This is an RNA transcript of Otolemur garnettii (small-eared galago), 464 nucleotides long. It is a transcript of the gene named mitochondrial pyruvate carrier 2 pseudogene, with no coding region annotated. The record is from RefSeq and is a predicted model, not a curated record. NCBI's taxonomy places the organism in Eukaryota, Metazoa, Chordata, Mammalia, Primates, Galagidae. The transcript has 2 exons.
AUGGGUUGCCACCCAGCAGGCCCCAAAACAGUUUUUUUCUGGGCUCCAAUUAUGAAAUGGGGAUUGGUGUGUGCUGGAUUGGCUGAUAUGGCCAGACCUGCAGAAAAACUCAGCACAGCUCAGUCUGCUGUUUUGAUGGCUACAGGGUUUAUUUGGUCAAGAUACUCGUAAUUAUUCCAAAAAACUGGAGUCUGUUUGCUGUUAAUUUCUUUGUGGGGGCAGCAGGUGCCUCUCAACUUUUUCGAAUUUGGAGAUAUAACCAAGAACUAAAAGCUAAAGCAAACCAAUAAAAGAAUUCCUGAUCACCUGAACAUUCUAGAUGUGAACAUAACCACUGGGACGUAGUUUAUUGUUUGAUGAUUGAUAAGGCAAUGUUAACUAUGGUGACAUUUGGAAGGCAUCAAAAAUAUCUAACUGUAACUUGUAGCUAGUGCUUGAUUCAACAGAAAAAUAAAGUGAAUUUU